UAGAGUUUGAUCCUGGCUCAGAUUGAACGCUGGCGGCAGGCCUAACACAUGCAAGUCGAGCGGUAGAGAGAAGCUUGCUUCUCUUGAGAGCGGCGGACGGGUGAGUAAUGCCUAGGAAUCUGCCUGGUAGUGGGGGAUAACGUUCGGAAACGGACGCUAAUACCGCAUACGUCCUACGGGAGAAAGCAGGGGACCUUCGGGCCUUGCGCUAUCAGAUGAGCCUAGGUCGGAUUAGCUAGUUGGUGAGGUAAUGGCUCACCAAGGCGACGAUCCGUAACUGGUCUGAGAGGAUGAUCAGUCACACUGGAACUGAGACACGGUCCAGACUCCUACGGGAGGCAGCAGUGGGGAAUAUUGGACAAUGGGCGAAAGCCUGAUCCAGCCAUGCCGCGUGUGUGAAGAAGGUCUUCGGAUUGUAAAGCACUUUAAGUUGGGAGGAAGGGUUGUAGAUUAAUACUCUGCAAUUUUGACGUUACCGACAGAAUAG
RNAcentral lists this ribosomal RNA (487 nucleotides) under Pseudomonas sp. Its description in RNAcentral is "bacterial SSU rRNA". It matches the Rfam family "Bacterial small subunit ribosomal RNA", at positions 1 to 489 of the family's 1533-position model. The record is from RNAcentral. Lineage: Bacteria; Pseudomonadati; Pseudomonadota; Gammaproteobacteria; Pseudomonadales; Pseudomonadaceae.